RNAcentral lists this ribosomal RNA (1053 nucleotides) under Triticum aestivum (bread wheat). RNAcentral's name for it is "partial small subunit ribosomal RNA". Lineage: Eukaryota; Viridiplantae; Streptophyta; Magnoliopsida; Poales; Poaceae. The record is from RNAcentral.
AUGAGCCGCCGCUUUGUGAAUCUGCUGGUCAGCAGCUUGCGCCGCCGCGUCCACCGCCCGGACUUCUACGUGCACCGCGUCGAUCCCACGAGCUUGUUCCACCCCGCCGGAUCACCGCAGCCAGCAGCGGCAGAGACGUCCGGCGCUCCGGCUCCGGCUCGGCUGCCCCGCGCCGCCGUGUCCUUCGACUGGCCCUGCCCGCCCAACCAGACCGGGUGGAUAGAGUUCAUGGGCUUCGGCGACGACGUCGUCGCCCUCGACCACGACGGCCGCACGCUCCUCUACGACGGCACGUCGGACGUUGUCUGCAUGAUGAACGACGCGGACUCGCCCAGGCCCAAUCCCAUCUCCGUCACCGUCGGCGAUGGCCUCUACGUGUUGGCGACCAACCCCGGACGGCCGCCCCACACGUACUGCUUCCAGUCGCUCGUCCACGGCGGCACGUUCCCCGGCUCCCCAUGGAAGGAGUGGCACUGGCGCUCGCUCGAGUCGCCGCCAUUCGAUCCCAAGUUCGCGACCACGGACAAGUAUCCCACCAGAUUCAAGCACGACCUGGGGCCGGCGGAGGCGGUGGCCCCGCGCGCGAUCGACGCCUACGCGGUGGUCGGCGACUCAGAGAUCUGGGUGUCCACGGUCAGCGCCGGUACGUACUCCUUCAACACGGCGAGCGGCGAGUGGAGCGCGGUCGGCCACUCUGCGCUGCCGUUCAGAGGCCGCGCCGAGUACGUCCCCGAGCACGGCCUCUGGUUCGGCUUCUCGGACGGCGACGAGCACCUCUGCGUCGCUGACCUCGCGCAGGAACCGCCGGAGACGCAGGUCUUUCCUCUUCGGCACGUGUGGGAGGACCCGCCACGGCCGGAAGCGUGGACCCCGACGGCGAUCCGCCUCCUGCCGUUGGGCUCCGGCAAACUGUGCGUGGCUAGGUGCUUCCGGAGAACCAAGGAGGGGGAGAGGCUGCUCCCGUCGGAGUACAGGCACGAGAAUUCCGAGAGCUUCUGGUGCUCGCCGGCGUGGAGGUUGUCAGGGACGCCGGCACGAGAAGCCUGGAGAUGA